CCCUGCACUUACCCGUGAAGUCUAUAAGCGCCCUGGCGAGCACAAGGCUGCGCAGAGGGCAUGGGGGAGGGGGGUUCCAACGACGUCACAUCAGCUGAGCUCUCGCUGCACACCUCCUUUGUCACCAACCCUCAUCUAGCCGCUGGAUGUGCACGUCCCUGGCAUCGCCGUUUCACAGCACGGACGCCGACCCCAGCUGACCGACUCCACAAGAUGCAAUGCAGAUUUUGUCUCACCAAGAGGUCGCGCAAGUAGUACCGCUGGCAGAGGAUACACUAGAUUUGAGUGGUCUGCAAGCGUAUUUGGAGACGUGAGUAUUUCGAACGGUUCAACGGUCAACACUCACAACGCCGUCGCAUACAAUCUGUCGGCGUCCAAGUUUGGCGGAGACGCGCCUGGCACACGCACCAGUGGCGGGAUUGUAGGAGCGUAAUCGCGGUGUUAGCGAAUGACGGUGGAGGAGCAGCCGCACUACGGCGUCGGCUACGCCCACCUCCACGUACUGCUGCGCGUGUCGUAGCCCACUGAGUGUCACGUCACGCACCGUUUGGUGUCUGUGAAGCUGGCCAACGCUCAAUAGGUAGUUCGGCACUCUAUCGCAUCUGCAGCGCCGGCGAAUGAGGUCGUUCUGCCGGACUUACAAGACGUCUCCCUGACGUGUGCGCGACAGACGCGGACUGAAGGAUACUGCCACUGUGCGAGUUGUGGGCCGGCACCGCUCAACUGUUCAUCUUCGUGGGAUGCGUGUUUUGGCGUGCUCCUGUGCACGCUGCGUUCCCCUCCCUUCCCUCUCCCGCUACGCGUUCCUCAGAACGCCACGGAAGACCGAGAACACGGCGCGUGGACUUGUGAGCGCACUGGGGAGUGAGCCCCGUCGACGCCCCGCGCAACCCUAAUAUCUUUUUUUUUGUAAGCGAGGCUGCCCUGACGGCAGGGUGGUGACGCGCGACCUAUUCUUCUGCGGUGCCAAGGCGAGCUCUGUGCACACGGCGGUCAAAUGCGGCAGCCGUAGCCUCAAGGGAUUCUGGCGGCGAAACUUGUCCGACGCCGGCCACAGGAGCUAGCGCGAAUAUGUGCUCAUGCUGCACAACUCUGAUGUUUGCGAUGUCGAGAUGCAGUGGGAUGGUGAUUAGCUAUUCGGCGGCGUGGAGGGCGUCUUCGUGAGCAACGAACAUCUGCACGGCAGUUCUCCUUAGCCCAUGUGCAGCUCAUGUGUGCUUGCUUGUGCGCGCUUUCGGGCAUUCUCGCACAUGUAUUCUUCUUUUUUUUUUCAGGACGUCCCGCAAUCCAGCUGCAUUUGCCGCGUGGUCGUGGUCGUGGCGACUACGGUUCCAUUUGGCGCUAGACUUUGGUCUUGAGCGUCUGUAACACAGUGGUGGUUGGCUUCCGGAAGCGGCUCAAGCGCAGCAGCGACCGCCGAAGAACGAAGCAAUCGGCAACUCACUGUAGUGACGGCACUCAUUGGCUGUCUUAUGUGUACCCACUGCGCGCCAGUGAAUAACCACAAGGCGACCAUAGGCGGAGAUUGCUUUUUUAGCGUGUGAGUCGACUCCAUGAUGCUUUAU
RNAcentral lists this unclassified non-coding RNA (1565 nucleotides) under Leishmania donovani. Its description in RNAcentral is "gene:unknown". The record is from RNAcentral. Lineage: Eukaryota; Euglenozoa; Kinetoplastea; Trypanosomatida; Trypanosomatidae.